RNAcentral lists this ribosomal RNA (445 nucleotides) under uncultured bacterium. RNAcentral's name for it is "partial 16S ribosomal RNA". It matches the Rfam family "Bacterial small subunit ribosomal RNA", at positions 354 to 796 of the family's 1533-position model. The record is from RNAcentral.
GUGAGGAAUAUUGGACAAUGGGCGCAAGCCUGAUCCAGCCAUGCCGCGUGCAGGAAGACGCAUCUAUGGUGUGUAAACUGCUUUUGUACGGGAAGAAACACUCCCUCGUGAGGGAGCUUGACGGUACCGUAAGAAUAAGGAUCGGCUAACUCCGUGCCAGCAGCCGCGGUAAUACGGAGGAUCCAAGCGUUAUCCGGAAUCAUUGGGGUUAAAGGGUCCGUAGGCGGUUUAAUAAGUCAGUGGUGAAAGCCCAUCGCUCAACGAUGGAACGGCCAUUGAUACUGUUAGACUUGAAUUACAAGGAAGUAACUAGAAUAUGUAGUGUAGCGGUGAAAUGCUUAGAUAUUACAUGGAAUACCAAUGGCGAAGGCAGGUUACUACUUGUGGAUUGACGCUGAUGGACGAAAGCGUGGGGAGCGAACAGGAUUAGAAACCCGUGUAGUCC